AACGAACGCUGGCGGCAGGCCUCAUACAUGCAAGUCUAACGGGUGUAGCAAUACAUCAGUGGCGCACGGGUGAGUAACGCGUGGGAAUAUGCCCUUGACUACGGAACAACCUCGGGAAACUGAGGCUAAUACCGUAUAAUGUCUCCGGACCAAAGAUUUAUCGGUCAAGGAUUAGCCCGCGUCUGAUUAGGUAGUUGGUGAGGUAACGGCUCACCAAGCCUACAAUCAGUAGCUGGUCUGAGAGGAUGAUCAGCCACACUGGGACCGAGACACGGCCCAGACUCCUACGGGAGGCAGCAGUAAGGAAUAUUGGACAAUGGGGGAAACCCUGAUCCAGCCAUGCCGCGUGAGUGAAGAAGGCCUUCGGGUUGUAAAGCUCUUUUACCCCUGACGAUAAUGACGGUAAGGGGAGAAAAAGCCACGGCUAACUUCGUGCCAGCCGCCGCGGUAA
RNAcentral lists this ribosomal RNA (451 nucleotides) under uncultured bacterium. Its description in RNAcentral is "partial 16S ribosomal RNA". It matches the Rfam family "Bacterial small subunit ribosomal RNA", at positions 29 to 523 of the family's 1533-position model. The record is from RNAcentral.